AGGCGGACGGGUGAGUGACGCGUAUGAAUCUGCCUAGUAGUGGGGGGACAACCCCGGGGAGAUCCGGGCUAAUACCGCAUACGCCCUACGGGGGAAAGGAGGGGAUCUCUUCGGAGACCUUUCGCUAUUAGAUGAGCCUGCGUCGGAUUAGCUAGUUGGUAGGGUAAUGGCCUACCAAGGCGACGAUCCGUAGCUGGUCUGAGAGGACGAUCAGCCACACUGGGACUGAGACACGGCCCAGACUCCUACGGGAGGCAGCAGUGGGGAAUAUUGCACAAUGGGCGCAAGCCUGAUGCAGCAAUGCCGCGUGUGUGAAGAAGGCCUGCGGGUUGUAAAGCACUUUCAAUUGGGAAGAAAAGGGGUUGGAUAAUACCCGACUUUCUUGACGUUACCUUUAGAAGAAGCACCGGCUAACUCCGUGCCAGCAGCCGCGGUAAUACGGAGGGUGCGAGCGUUAAUCGGAAUUACUGGGCGUAAAGCGUGCGUAGGUGGUUAGGUCAGUCAGAUGUGAAAGCCCCGGGCUUAACCUGGGAACUGCAUUUGAUACUGCCUGGCUAGAGUGUGGUAGAGGGAAGUGGAAUUCCGGGUGUAGCGGUGAAAUGCGUAGAUAUCCGGAGGAACACCGGUGGCGAAGGCGGCUUCCUGGACCGACACUGACACUGAGGCACGAAAGCGUGGGUAGCAAACAGGAUUAGAUACCCUGGUAGUCCACGCCGUAAACGAUGUCAACUAGCCGUU
RNAcentral lists this ribosomal RNA (738 nucleotides) under uncultured Gammaproteobacteria bacterium. Its description in RNAcentral is "bacterial SSU rRNA". It matches the Rfam family "Bacterial small subunit ribosomal RNA", at positions 96 to 824 of the family's 1533-position model. The record is from RNAcentral. Lineage: Bacteria; Pseudomonadati; Pseudomonadota; Gammaproteobacteria.